RNAcentral lists this ribosomal RNA (253 nucleotides) under uncultured bacterium. RNAcentral describes it as "partial 16S ribosomal RNA". It matches the Rfam family "Bacterial small subunit ribosomal RNA", at positions 524 to 776 of the family's 1533-position model. The record is from RNAcentral.
UACGUAGGUGGCAAGCGUUGUCCGGAAUUAUUGGGCGUAAAGCGCGCGCAGGCGGUCCUUUAAGUCUGAUGUGAAAGCCCACGGCUCAACCGUGGAGGGUCAUUGGAAACUGGGGGACUUGAGUACAGAAGAGAAGAGUGGAAUUCCACGUGUAGCGGUGAAAUGCGUAGAGAUGUGGAGGAACACCAGUGGUGAAGGCGACUCUUUGGUCUGUAACUGACGCUGAGGCGCGAAAGCGUGGGGAGCAAACAGG